This 196-nucleotide ribosomal RNA is filed under the name Escherichia coli. Its description in RNAcentral is "partial 16S ribosomal RNA". It matches the Rfam family "Bacterial small subunit ribosomal RNA", at positions 1 to 204 of the family's 1533-position model. The record is from RNAcentral. RNAcentral also lists the same sequence under 2 other names. Lineage: Bacteria; Pseudomonadati; Pseudomonadota; Gammaproteobacteria; Enterobacterales; Enterobacteriaceae.
AAAUUGAAGAGUUUGAUCAUGGCUCAGAUUGAACGCUGGCGGCAGGCCUAACACAUGCAAGUCGAACGGUAACAGGAAACAGCUUGCUGUUUCGCUGACGAGUGGCGGACGGGUGAGUAAUGUCUGGGAAACUGCCUGAUGGAGGGGGAUAACUACUGGAAACGGUAGCUAAUACCGCAUAACGUCGCAAGACCAA